RNAcentral lists this long non-coding RNA (1292 nucleotides) under Rattus norvegicus (Norway rat). RNAcentral's name for it is "long non-coding RNA NONRATT018302". Lineage: Eukaryota; Metazoa; Chordata; Mammalia; Rodentia; Muridae. The record is from RNAcentral.
UGUGAGAACUGUCUUGAGUAAAGAAUAAAAAGUAAUCAUUUUCUUAGAGCCUGACUCAUAAUUCUUUAAUAUAAAAUAUAGUCGUGGUCAUUUGUUCUUCUAUUUUCUGUUGCUGAUUGCCCUCUGGGAUGAUUAUUACUGUCACUAGAGGAAGUGACUGCUGUGUCUUCCCCCUCCUCUUCCCUCCUACUCUGAAGAGAGCAAAAAGAUGAAGUGCACGCUGCGCAGUCACUCUGGCUCCCUUCCCACGUUCUAGUGCCAUUGGGUUAGUGAUUAACUCCAUCAGCACAAGCCUUAGCGCAUUGUCCUUGCUAAACUUGUCUAAUCCACCGAGAAGAUAGCAGUGGAUUUACAGUCUUGUAAAAGGGUGCUAGACAUGGCCCAACAGUGUGAGCAUUUGCUGAUCUUACCAAGGACCCAGGUUCUGUCCCUGCACCCACAUGGUGAAAACAGCGUCCAUUAGUCCAGUUCCAAGGGAUUAGAUACUGUCUUCUCACCCCCAACACCAAGAAACACAUAAUAUGCAUACAUACGUUCAGGCAAAACACCCAUACAUAUAAAAUAGAAAAUAAAUCUAUAAAAAGCAAGCUGUUACAAAAUUGAAACUAAUAAGUAUGCGAAUCUCUUCUUCCUCCUCCCAGUAUAACAUCCAAGCUUAUCCAACAACAGUGGUGUUCAACCAGUCCAGUGUUCAUGAGUAUGAAGGACAUCAUUCUGCGGAACAGAUCCUGGAGUUCAUAGAGGAUCUCAGAAACCCUUCCGUGGUCUCUCUUACACCCACCACUUUCAAUGAACUAGUUAAACAGAGAAAACAUGACGAAGUCUGGAUGGUUGAUUUCUAUUCUCCAUGGUGUCAUCCCUGUCAGGUCUUAAUGCCAGAGUGGAAACGCAUGGCCCGGACGUUAACUGGAUUGAUCAAUGUAGGCAGUGUGGACUGCCAACAGUAUCAUUCUUUUUGUACUCAAGAAAAUGUCCAGAGAUACCCUGAGAUAAGAUUUUAUCCCCAAAAGUCAAGUAGAGCUUAUCAGUAUCAUUACAAUGGCUGGAAUAGGGAUGCUUAUUCCCUGAGAAGCUGGGGUCUCGGGUUUUUACCCCAAGCAUCCAUAGAUUUAACACCUCAGACAUUCAACGAAAAAGUUCUACAAGGGAAAACUCACUGGGUGAUUGAUUUCUAUGCUCCUUGGUGUGGACCUUGCCAGAAUUUUGCUCCCGAGUUUGAACUCUUGGCUAGGAUGAUCAAAGGGAAAGUAAAAGCUGGGAAAGUGGACUGUCAGGCUUACCCCCAAACGUGC